This 263-nucleotide ribosomal RNA is filed under the name Shigella sonnei. Its description in RNAcentral is "partial 16S ribosomal RNA". It matches the Rfam family "Bacterial small subunit ribosomal RNA", at positions 1 to 260 of the family's 1533-position model. The record is from RNAcentral. Lineage: Bacteria; Pseudomonadati; Pseudomonadota; Gammaproteobacteria; Enterobacterales; Enterobacteriaceae.
AAAUUGAAGAGUUUGAUCAUGGCUCAGAUUGAACGCUGGCGGCAGGCCUAACACAUGCAAGUCGAACGGUAACAGGAAGCAGCUUGCUGCUUCGCUGACGAGUGGCGGACGGGUGAGUAAUGUCUGGGAAACUGCCUGAUGGAGGGGGAUAACUACUGGAAACGGUAGCUAAUACCGCAUAAUGUCGCAAGACCAAAGAGGGGGACCUUCGGGCCUCUUGCCAUCGGAUGUGCCCAGAUGGGAUUAGCUAGUAGGUGGGGUAA